This is a long non-coding RNA of Trichomycterus rosablanca, 1222 nucleotides long. RefSeq lists it as uncharacterized. Lineage: Eukaryota; Metazoa; Chordata; Actinopteri; Siluriformes; Trichomycteridae. The transcript is spliced from 5 exons. The record is from RefSeq and is a predicted model, not a curated record.
UGUCGCCACUCUGUUCUCUCUACCGCUCUGGCUCAAACCACGAAUCAACAGAAGAAAGUUCAUUUGUAGUUCUAAACAUAUUUAGGGUGUUUUUACCCACUUGUUGUCUCUCCCACGAUGUUAUUCCUCUCUUCUACAGCGUCAAUUAUUGAGUCAGAGCUUAUUAAAAGACACAAGAAUCUGACGACGGAAAAUCUCGUCAACGGCUAAACUGUUACCUGGAAAGUGAGAAAUGGAUAAAAAGACGUUGGUGAAGCGGAGCCAUGCUAACAUGCUAAGCUCCUGAAGUUCGAUGGAAAAUGACCACAUGUCAAGGAAGGCUGCUGAGGUUGAGAGAGUCUCAGUGUCCGACAGAGAAGACCCGGGACUAUGCUGUAAAGAAGAAAAUUACAAGGAGGCCUGGAUCUGGGAAACUUAAAUCUACUAGUGAAUCAAAUGGGCCAUGCCGAUCCAUCUUAAGGCAGUCAGAGCUGCUAAAAUAAUGAAAUUAAAAAAAAAAGAUCUGUCUGCAUCAGUGCAUUAGUGCAGAUGAAGGUGGACAAACAUAUUUUUCCCAUGAAGGAGGUCCAAAAAGUGCUUCACCAGCAAAUUCAAUGAUGUGGUCAAGCUAGGAAAACAAGAGGUGUAAUUCAUUUCACAAUUCACGCCCCACACACACACAAAGACACAGGACACAUCCAAGCACCCAAUACUGCCAUAAUUAAAUGCAUAGUGAAUGAUUAUGAAUUAGAUUUUUCAUUAUGUAUGUAUAGAGUUUAUAUAUAGAGAUUUAUACCACAAUACAUUAUUCAGUUAUAUAAUUGUAUAUAUUACUGUAUAAUAAAAUUAUAUUAUUGUAUAAUUACCAUCGUAAAAUAAAUUAUUAAGUGUAAUAUAAUUAUGUUAUUAUAUAACAAAUACAAUCUAUUACUAUUAUUUUCUAUAUUACUAUUAUUAUAGAACAUUUAACAUUGCAAUAUAGAAUGCCAAGUUGGUAAAUGUGUUAUCAGUUUACCAUUUAGAAGGAAUCCUUACCAGUUGUUUUUGUGCGUGUUGUAACGUUCCCUUUAAGGGGUAUGAGCAUGCGCAUUUUGGAGAGAGUAUCAGACAGCGAUAGAGAAGCAUGCAUGGUGUUAGCUCGGUUUGUAGCCUGACUGUUUUAUUCUACUGCUGCUGCUAUCCGGAUUGUGAUGAAUGGAAGUGUGGGUGCUCCUGUGCCAAAUAAAUACUCCCAUUACCUGCA